CUCCGUCUCCAUCCUCUAGCUGGCUGGAAGCUGACGCUUUGAAUCGCGAAAUUCUCAUGGUAUCGACCUCUCCGCUGAAAAGUCACCUAUCAAUGCGAAGCAGUGACAGUAAGGAUGAGAUCGCUGAAGGAAGCUACCAACCUCAAACGCCGGAACUAAAAGUUGUGCCACCAGCCUUUCGCACUGAAGAAGAAUUCGCAGAGUCUUCGCCCAGUAGUAUCAUCAGCGAGCCCCUGCCUGCGGAUCCCAAGGUUAGAUUUACAAGAACAGCAUUUUGUUCUGACUCUCUCGUGCAGGCUGGAGAUCUGGAGCAAAUAAACAUGCUCAAGCAGCAGUUACAAAAUGCCAUCGUGGCUGCAAACAAAGCAAAAGAAUCUGCCGACGCUGAAACACUACGGAGCCAGGAAGCUCGCGAGAACGCUGAUUGGGCUUUAAAACGGGUAAACUGGAGAUGCUAUCGUCAAAAGUCUUACGAUUUCAUGGCAUUCCAGGCGGAAAUAUUGAUGCGAGCGGUCGAGGAGGACAAUCAGCGAGAGUAUAACGCAGCAAAGAAAUUAGAUGAGGAAUCGCAGAAGCGUGCUGAAGCUCUCACGCUUGUCAACUCGAUGAAAAAAGCACUGGUGGACGAAAUCCGGAGAAGGAAGGAAAUGGAAAACAGGAUAGAGCUCCAAUGUAAAGCAGAAGCUGAGAGAGAGGCCAACAGGCAACAACUGCUCAAGUACACACAAUUCACGUUUGAGGAACUCCGAGACAUCACAGACAACUUUUCUGAGAACAACAAAAUAGGAGAGGGAUCAUACGGUCACGUCUACAAAGGCACUCUCCACAGGACCAACGUAGCAGUCAAGGUUCUAAGACAUGAUAGUUGGCAAGGACCACAAGAGUUCGAACAAGAGGUACGUAAACUCACUCGAAUUUCUAAAAUCUCUAACAAGCAUGGGAAAAUAAAGGUGGAAGUGCUGAGCCGACUACACCAUCCUCACAUCGUUCUACUGCUAGGCGGAAAUCCGGAAAAGAAAUGCCUUGUCUACGAGUACCUGGAAAACGGGAGCUUGGAAGAUCGACUGUUCUGCAAGGACGACUCGCCGCCAAUCUCAUGCCUCACGAGGUACCAGAUUGCGGUGGAAGUCGGCACAGCGCUCCUCUUCCUCCACAAGGCAAAGCCACAGCCGAUCGUGCUCCGGGACCUCAAGCCUUCCAACAUCCUGCUAGACAAAAACUACAACAGUAAGAUCAGCGACGUUGGGUUGGCAAGAUUCAUGCCAGGCGACGCGACAAGCGUGAGGAGCACAUCACCUGUGGGAACGUUCGCGUACAUCGAUCCGGAGUACCAGCGGGAAGGCAGCUUCAAUGCAAAGUCGGACGUGUUUGCGUUUGGGAUCAUCCUGCUCCAGCUCCUCACCGCGACGAGCCCGGUUG
RNAcentral lists this long non-coding RNA (1419 nucleotides) under Selaginella moellendorffii. Its description in RNAcentral is "long non-coding RNA (SMOE_LNC001997)". The record is from RNAcentral. Lineage: Eukaryota; Viridiplantae; Streptophyta; Lycopodiopsida; Selaginellales; Selaginellaceae.